This 832-nucleotide ribosomal RNA is filed under the name Roseibium sp. RKSG952. Its description in RNAcentral is "Bacterial large subunit ribosomal RNA". It matches the Rfam family "Bacterial large subunit ribosomal RNA", at positions 935 to 1868 of the family's 2925-position model. Lineage: Bacteria; Pseudomonadati; Pseudomonadota; Alphaproteobacteria; Hyphomicrobiales; Stappiaceae. The record is from Rfam by way of RNAcentral.
CUUACUGAUCCUAACCAAACUCCGAAUACCGGGAAGAACUGUCCGGCAGACACACAGUGGGUGCUAACGUCCAUUGUGGAGAGGGAAACAACCCUGACCGCCAGUUAAGGUCCCCAAGUUAUGGCUAAGUGGGAAAGGAUGUAGAGAUCCCAAAACAACCAGGAUGUUGGCUUAGAAGCAGCCAUCAUUUAAAGAAAGCGUAACAGCUCACUGGUCUAAAUAAGGGUCUCCGCGCCGAAAAUGUACCGGGGCUCAAGCCAUACACCGAAACUGCGGGUGCAUCGCAAGAUGCGCGGUAGCGGAGCGUUCUGUAAGUCUGCGAAGGAAGACCCGCGAGGGCUUCUGGAGAUAUCAGAAGUGCGAAUGCUGACAUGAGUAACGAUAAAGGGAGUGAGAGACUCCCUCGCCGAAAGUCCAAGGGUUCCUGCUCAACGCUAAUCGGAGCAGGGUUAGUCGGCCCCUAAGGCGAGGCCGAAAGGCGUAGUCGAUGGGAAUGAGGUUAAUAUUCCUCAACUUGGUGGUAGUGACGGAUGCCGUGUGUUGUAUCCCCUUAUCGGAUUGGGGGUGCAGCGAAGGUGUUCCAGGAAAUAGCUCCACCGUAUAAACCGUACCCGAAACCGACACAGGUGGACUGGUAGAGAAUACCAAGGCGCUUGAGAGAACUAUGCUGAAGGAACUCGGCAAAAUGCUCCCGUAAGUUCGCGAGAAGGGAGACCUCGAUUUGGGCAACCAGAUCGGGGUGGCACAGACCAGGGGGUGGCGACUGUUUAUCAAAAACACAGGGCUCUGCGAAGCCGCAAGGCGACGUAUAGGGUCUGACGCCUGCCCGGUG